This 1474-nucleotide long non-coding RNA is filed under the name Macaca mulatta (Rhesus monkey). Its description in RNAcentral is "lncRNA (ENSMMUG00000064995.1)". The record is from RNAcentral. Lineage: Eukaryota; Metazoa; Chordata; Mammalia; Primates; Cercopithecidae.
CCGCGGCUUCCGCGGCGGUUUCUCCUCCUCUCGCUCCUCCUGCUCGCCCGGCGCCCGUUUCUCUCGCUGCCGCUGCCGCCGCCGCCGCCGCCGCCGUUUGUCUCCUCUCCCUCCUCCUCCUCCUUUUCCUCCUCCUCCCGCUCCUCGAUGCUCCGCCGCUCGCGGCUGGGGGGUCCGGGGCCGCGUCUCCUCUCCUCCCUCCGCCUCUCCUGUUUCCUCCUUCCUGCUGCCUCUUCUUUUAAAGCGGAUUCUUUGGCCACAAAUAGCAACUCGGCUGCCCCCCUCGGUGCCUCCCUCCCCUUCUUCUCUUCUUCCCCCCAAAAGUGAAGCGCACGCGAGGUAAAGAAACGAAGACCCUGAGAAUUUAAAAUCAUCCAACUAUUUGGUGCCAGAAGCAGGACAAGAACUCAGAUAUCAUGAUCCAGUGCCCUCCAUCCCACCAACUGUUCAUCACCUCCACAUUCUGGAUCAAAGAAGCCAGUUUUCCAACUUAUCAAAUUAAAUCAGAAACAACAAAACUACUGCUUCUGAGAGAGAAGAGAUAUUGCUUGUAAUUUUGGGCUUAAGGAAUUCAUUUUCUUGAGAAGAAAGUAUUCUUGGUGAACUCUAAGAAUAGAAAACUAUCAAUUUACAACUAGGACACAUGGAUUUCUCCAAGAGUUAACAUAAUGCCUAACAAAUAAGAGGUACAGUAUCCACACUAUAUUAGUUAAAUAUUAACAUUUAUAUGGUACUUCAUAAGUCACGGAGAACCUUAAGAGAUAUCUUUUAAGGCUCCUAAUAAUUUUGUAAGUGGCAAAACACCGAUUUUAUGGCUGACCCAGACUCAUUGAUUGAUCCAGACCCCGAAUCAGAAACUCUGGGCUAGCUUCUGGGAGUCCGAAUUGUUGGCAAGCUUCUCAGGUAAUUCUGAAAACCACCAUGAUAACUCAAUUCAAAUUUAUUGAUUUGUUUUAUUGCUCCCAGGAAAAUGAUCCCGUGAGCAGAUUCUGGCAUUUCCUAAGAAGCUAGCUGCCUUUUUCUGGGAUUUGCCUUUUUCUUGCUUCUGUAGUUCUUAAAAGGAAAAAAAAAAAAAAAAUUCACAGGUGGCACCAUUUUACCUAAAUCUACAAGCUAUAUAAUUCUGCUCUGCACAGCUGGUUUCUUCUUACAGUCAGUUGUCCCUGCUCUGAAGAAAGCUUCUAGCUGCUGGCACUGGUAGGAGGUUUGAAUCCUACCCACUAUCCUUCUGGCCAUAACUAAGGUCCUAACAGCCGGCAGAGAACACAGGCUUCCUUCAGCAGUCAGCUGUAAUUACGUGAAAUUUAUACCGGGCAUUGUAGAACAAACCCAGCAACCUGCUGGGACAUUUCAGGGGUUUUUAGCAUUUUAGUUGGGAACCACUAGUUCUAGCUGUUAUACUCAGGGAGAGAAUUGGUCAUGAGCUAUUUGUGUUGGUAUAUGUCUCUUUCCAUCAGUUAAAAAAAAAAAAAAA